This 1151-nucleotide ribosomal RNA is filed under the name Enterococcus durans. RNAcentral's name for it is "bacterial SSU rRNA". It matches the Rfam family "Bacterial small subunit ribosomal RNA", at positions 54 to 1175 of the family's 1533-position model. Lineage: Bacteria; Bacillati; Bacillota; Bacilli; Lactobacillales; Enterococcaceae. The record is from RNAcentral.
CAUGACAGUCGUACGCUUCUUUUUCCACCGGAGCUUGCUCCACCGGAAAAAGAAGAGUGGCGAACGGGUGAGUAACACGUGGGUAACCUGCCCAUCAGAAGGGGAUAACACUUGGAAACAGGUGCUAAUACCGUAUAACAAUCGAAACCGCAUGGUUUUGAUUUGAAAGGCGCUUUCGGGUGUCGCUGAUGGAUGGACCCGCGGUGCAUUAGCUAGUUGGUGAGGUAACGGCUCACCAAGGCCACGAUGCAUAGCCGACCUGAGAGGGUGAUCGGCCACAUUGGGACUGAGACACGGCCCAAACUCCUACGGGAGGCAGCAGUAGGGAAUCUUCGGCAAUGGACGAAAGUCUGACCGAGCAACGCCGCGUGAGUGAAGAAGGUUUUCGGAUCGUAAAACUCUGUUGUUAGAGAAGAACAAGGAUGAGAGUAACUGUUCAUCCCUUGACGGUAUCUAACCAGAAAGCCACGGCUAACUACGUGCCAGCAGCCGCGGUAAUACGUAGGUGGCAAGCGUUGUCCGGAUUUAUUGGGCGUAAAGCGAGCGCAGGCGGUUUCUUAAGUCUGAUGUGAAAGCCCCCGGCUCAACCGGGGAGGGUCAUUGGAAACUGGGAGACUUGAGUGCAGAAGAGGAGAGUGGAAUUCCAUGUGUAGCGGUGAAAUGCGUAGAUAUAUGGAGGAACACCAGUGGCGAAGGCGGCUCUCUGGUCUGUAACUGACGCUGAGGCUCGAAAGCGUGGGGAGCAAACAGGAUUAGAUACCCUGGUAGUCCACGCCGUAAACGAUGAGUGCUAAGUGUUGGAGGGUUUCCGCCCUUCAGUGCUGCAGCUAACGCAUUAAGCACUCCGCCUGGGGAGUACGACCGCAAGGUUGAAACUCAAAGGAAUUGACGGGGGCCCGCACAAGCGGUGGAGCAUGUGGUUUAAUUCGAAGCAACGCGAAGAACCUUACCAGGUCUUGACAUCCUUUGACCACUCUUGAGAUAGAGCUUCCCCUUCGGGGGCAAAGUGACAGGUGGUGCAUGGUUGUCGUCAGCUCGUGUCGUGAGAUGUUGGGUUAAGUCCCGCAACGAGCGCAACCCUUAUGGUUAGUUGCCAUCAUUCAGUUGGGCACUCUAGCAAGACUGCCNGGUGACAAACCGGAAGAAAAGUG